GACGAACGCUGGCGGCGUGCUUAACACAUGCAAGUCGAACGGAAAGGCCCUGCUUUUGUGGGGUGCUCGAGUGGCGAACGGGUGAGUAACACGUGAGUAACCUGCCCUUGACUUUGGGAUAACUUCAGGAAACUGGGGCUAAUACCGGAUAGGAGCUCCUGCUGCAUGGUGGGGGUUGGAAAGUUUCGGCGGUUGGGGAUGGACUCGCGGCUUAUCAGCUUGUUGGUGGGGUAGUGGCUUACCAAGGCUUUGACGGGUAGCCGGCCUGAGAGGGUGACCGGCCACAUUGGGACUGAGAUACGGCCCAGACUCCUACGGGAGGCAGCAGUGGGGAAUAUUGCACAAUGGGCGGAAGCCUGAUGCAGCAACGCCGCGUGCGGGAUGACGGCCUUCGGGUUGUAAACCGCUUUCGCCUGUGACGAAGCGUGAGUGACGGUAAUGGGAAAGAAGCACCGGCUAACUACGUG
This 467-nucleotide ribosomal RNA is filed under the name uncultured bacterium. RNAcentral describes it as "partial 16S ribosomal RNA". It matches the Rfam family "Bacterial small subunit ribosomal RNA", at positions 28 to 507 of the family's 1533-position model. The record is from RNAcentral.